Molecule: long non-coding RNA, 1415 nt
Organism: Camelus dromedarius (Arabian camel)
Lineage: Eukaryota; Metazoa; Chordata; Mammalia; Artiodactyla; Camelidae
Exons: 3
Source: RefSeq, a predicted model, not a curated record
AAGCUAUUGCAGGAGUUCAAGCAAAAGGUUGCUGGCUGGAUUAGGUUGCUAAUGGUAAAGGCAAAGGUGGGGAGAAGUGGUUGGAUUCAGAAUAUAUUUCCAAAACAAGCCAGUGGGAGUUGUUGACAAGAUUAGAAACUGAUGGGAGGGGCAGAAUUAAUAAUAAUUCCUUUCUGGCCUGAGCGGUUGGUGAACAGGAAUGCCAGUAACUGAGAUAGGGAAACCUGGAUGGAAAAUAGAUUUGGGGGUGAGAGAAGAGGGGAGAAAUAAAAAGUUCUGUUGGGUUUGCCUAUUAGAUGUUCAAUAGGAUAUGUUUAGGAGACAGGUGAAUACGUGAGUCUGGAGCUCAGAGGCGAGACCGGGACUAGGAUACAAAUUUGGGGAUGCUCAGCAUAUAGGUAAUUUUCAGAGCCAUGAGACUGGUAGAGAUCACCCAGAAAGGGUAGAGAAUGAAGAAAAAGAGAAGAAAGAGGGCAGGGAGUGGGGCAUCAGAAAAGUAGAUGGAAUUAAGUGAAAAAGACUGGGAAGGAGCAGCCAGCAAGGGAGAAGGAGUCAAAAGCCAAAAGGAAAGGUGUUUCAAGGAGGGAAAGCCAAAUGCUGUAGAGAAAAUCAGGUAAGAACAAAAUUGGCCAGUGGAUUUUGCAAGAUGGAGACACUUCCAGUAAAGCAUUGAGGACAGAUACUUCUGGACUGGAACCAGCGAAAGAGAGAAGAGGAGGUCACUGCCCAAACAAGAUGCAGGUUUUUGCUCUCCGGGACCUGCCUGUGCUCAGGCACAAGGGGCAUGUGCAUCCCCAGCCUCCAAGAGACUGAGAAAUGGGGAAAAUGAAACUUGGAAUAAGAUGAAUUCAACGUUGGAGGCAGCAGAGGAGUAACGUCCACUACAGAACAAGAUUUCCAGGCUGCAACACACGCUCAGCCUCAGCGAGACCGCUCUGGCGGAGGCUUGGCAGAGAAGAUGCUGCGGAAGAAGAAAAUCUGGGACUUUAGAGCCUUUACACUUGAGUUUACAAAGGGAAGUGGAUUUUAUUUUUAAACUUUAAUUUCUCUGAGGAUUUAAUAAUUGGAGGGAAUGCAUAUUCAAAUUAUGAUCUGGAAAUGUAUCUGGGGACUAGGUUUAUGCUGUCCUGAGGUAUUCAUGCAGCCUCUUCUGAUACAAGGUAUAAUCUGAGAUGAAAAAAUAGAAUAAAAGUGAAUUUCCAGCCUCCAGGGCUGCAUGGCCCUCAGUAGUAUCUAUUACAUUUCAGAGUCUUCCAAGUCCAAAGACCAAAGUGUCCACUCCUGGCCCACAAAGAACAGUGGUGAACAGAGAAAGGCCGCAGGAAGGCAGCCGCAAGACCCAUCCUAUUCUACUGUCUUUCACUUGAAGCGGGCAGCCUCUCUGUGGGGUUGCCCAGAAAUGUGUGUGUUAAACC